Long non-coding RNA from Numida meleagris (helmeted guineafowl), 354 nucleotides. RefSeq lists it as uncharacterized. Lineage: Eukaryota; Metazoa; Chordata; Aves; Galliformes; Numididae. The transcript has 3 exons. The record is from RefSeq and is a predicted model, not a curated record.
UGCAUCACAAAGUCCUGGCAGUUGCCAUGGAAGCCCCAUGCCCCUCUCCUGACAGCCUCCCACACGGUCAUCAGCUCACAGCCAGGUGCAGGUGGCUGCCCAGAACAGGACUGAAAGGCCAGCAGUGAGCACUGAGUGCACAAGAAUAAUUUUGAGCAAGAAGGACUUAAGAAGAUACUCUGCAAUCAGAAAAAAUGGCACCCAUUGACAUUCAUCGAUGCACGGUGAAGGUUAUGGAUACCAAACAGCAGAUGACAGCUGUUAGGAUUCCACUUUCAACAGAGAUGGAAGUUACAGCACAUUAGGAAGUUCUGCUCUACUACAAAGAAAGAAUAAAUAGAAAUUUAUUUUUCC